Cavia porcellus (domestic guinea pig) is the source of this 630-nucleotide long non-coding RNA. RefSeq lists it as uncharacterized. The transcript is spliced from 4 exons. The record is from RefSeq and is a predicted model, not a curated record. NCBI's taxonomy places the organism in Eukaryota, Metazoa, Chordata, Mammalia, Rodentia, Caviidae.
CCUCUGCACAAACAGCAGAGACAAGUUAGCAUUUAACUAGUGCGGAACUGGCUAAAGGCUCUCCAAGCGGCAAACCAGCAGGACCUGUUGGCUGGGAUGAAAGGGCUCCCAGAGCUGCCAUGGGUGUCAUCCUGCCGCCCACCUGUGCCUGGCCCAGGGUCUUACUAUGCAGUCCAGCCUGCCCUUGAACUCCCUCGGCCUCCCGAAUGCUGGGAUCACAGAUGUGUGCUACCACACCUCGGUCACUGUACAGUUUAGACUGGCCUCCAACUCCCUAUGGAGCCCAGGAUGGUUUUGAACUUGUGAUGAUCCUCCUGUCUCAGCCUACAGGUUUCUGCUGGACUCAGGCACUACCCUAGAUCUUCGCUGGGAGGCCAAAGGUGAGCAGGACACAGUACCCAGGCUGUGACAAUUUCCGAGCUUGCAUUGUGUCGAGACCAGACAAGCACACACGCGUCACCCAAAUAAUAUGACCGCAUGUAGUAAGAGGUUUAACGACUGCAGAGCCCUGGCCUCUGCUUCCUCACGGAGGAAAAGCUGUCAGCGGUGACCGAGCUCCAGAAGCGCAGGCCCGACCCUCCGUGCUGCGAGCUGGCGGCUUCCAUCAAAUAAAACCUGCGACAAAGUUAA